AACGUGGGUAACCCUGCCCAAGAGAUCGGGAUAACACCUGGAAACAGAUGCUAAUACCGGAUAACAACAGAUGAUGCCUAUCAACUGUUUAAAAGAUGGUUCUGCUAUCACUCUUGGAUGGACCUGCGGUGCAUUAGCUAGUUGGUAGGGUAACGGCCUACCAAGGCGAUUAUGCAUAGCCUAGUUGAGAGACUGAUCGGCCACAUUGGGACUGAGACACGGCCCAAACUCCUACGGGAGGCAGCAGCC
This 249-nucleotide ribosomal RNA is filed under the name uncultured Lactobacillus sp. RNAcentral describes it as "partial 16S ribosomal RNA". It matches the Rfam family "Bacterial small subunit ribosomal RNA", at positions 114 to 355 of the family's 1533-position model. The record is from RNAcentral. Lineage: Bacteria; Bacillati; Bacillota; Bacilli; Lactobacillales; Lactobacillaceae.